RNAcentral lists this ribosomal RNA (497 nucleotides) under uncultured bacterium. Its description in RNAcentral is "partial 16S ribosomal RNA". It matches the Rfam family "Bacterial small subunit ribosomal RNA", at positions 28 to 507 of the family's 1533-position model. The record is from RNAcentral.
GAUGAACGCUGGCGGCGUGCCUAAUACAUGCAAGUCGAGCGAACGGACGAGAAGCUUGCUUCUCUGAUGUUAGCGGCGGACGGGUGAGUAACACGUGGAUAACCUACCUAUAAGACUGGGAUAACUUCGGGAAACCGUAGCUAAUCCCGGAUAAUAUUUUGAACCGCAUGGUUCAAAAGUGAAAGACGGCCUUGCUGUCACUUCUCGAUGGAUCCGCGCUGCAUUAGCUAGUUGGUAAGGUAACGGCUUACCAAGGCAACGAUGCAUAGCCGACCUGAGAGGGUGAUCGGCCACACUAGAACUGAGACACGGUCCAGACUCCUACGGGAGGCAGCAGUAGGGAAUCUUCCGCAGUGGGCGAAAGCCUGACGGAGCAACGCCGCGUGAGUGAUGAAGGUCUUCGGAUCGUAAAACUCUGUUAUUAGGGAAGAACAUAUGUGUAAGUAACUGUGCACAUCUUGACGGUACCUAAUCAGAAAGCCACGGCUAACUACGUG